AUGGUAUUUGAACAACGCUUUGGAUUGUAUAAUGAAAGGGUAGAAAAGCAAGCUUUUAUUUGCUUGGCCUCAUAUAGCAAUAUUUCUUGAUGAUGAAUACAAGACCGAUCAAAUUAACGAUGUCGCUUUAGGGAAUUUACUUUUUUUGAUUUGCAGUUGAUGAUGCUAUGAGCAAGUCAGAAAUUGGCUUGCCCACCACUCCAUGCAAGCUUGAACUCCUCAAGGAUGCGCUGGGUAUAAUCUAUUAUUGUUGUAGGAGACAACUUGUUAUGUUCUAAUUU
Long non-coding RNA from Carya illinoinensis, 281 nucleotides. RefSeq lists it as uncharacterized. The record is from RefSeq and is a predicted model, not a curated record. Lineage: Eukaryota; Viridiplantae; Streptophyta; Magnoliopsida; Fagales; Juglandaceae. The transcript has 4 exons.